Molecule: small RNA, 132 nt
Filed under: Escherichia coli
Lineage: Bacteria; Pseudomonadati; Pseudomonadota; Gammaproteobacteria; Enterobacterales; Enterobacteriaceae
Description: RtT sRNA
Rfam family: RtT RNA
About the family: This family represents a bacterial cis-regulatory element known as RtT RNA. The exact function of RtT is unknown although it is thought that it may be involved in changing the cellular response in relation to amino acid starvation.
Source: RNAcentral
AUUCUGCCCAUGCGGGGAAGGAUGUGAAGCUUCUACCCAUGUUAGACUUGUGCGCCAGCGUUAGCGCGUGGGCUCUUGCAUCGAAACGAUGGGCGAUGGUCGCAGCUCUGUGUAAUCCUUCCCCCACCACCA